AGGAAUCAAGUUGUGCGGUCGGUGAUGCCUGAGUCAGCGACCGGCCUGGGCCUCUGCCCUUAGGAGGCAACUCCCAGGCAGGCCGAAAAGGCCGGGAGCCUUUGUUUCGGUUUCGCGGCGGCAGCGGCGUUGUUGGCUGAGGGGACCCAGGACACCAGAAUGCCCCCGGCCCCGGCUCCUCUGAUGCGAUGGGGAAAGUGCUAUCCAAAAUCUUCGGGAACAAGGAAAUGCGGAUCCUCAUGUUGCGCCUGGACGCGGCCGGCAAGACAACAAUCCUGUAAAAGUUGAAGCUGGGCCAGUCGGUGACCACAAUUCCCACUGUGGGUUUCAACGUGGAGACAGUGACUUACAAAAAUGUCAAGUUCAACAUAUGGGAUGUGGGCGGCCAGGACAAGAUCCGCCGCUCUGGCAGCAUAACUACACUGGGACCCAAGGUCUGAUCUUCAUAGUGUACUGUGCCAACUGCCACCGCAUCGAUGAGGCUCACCAGGAGCUGCACCGCAUUAUCAAUGACCGGGAGAUGAGGGACGCCAUAAUCCUCAUCUUCGCCAACAAGCAGGACCUGCCCGAUGCCAUGAAACCCCACGAGAUCCAGGAGAAACUGGGCCUGACCCGGAUUCAGGACAGGAACUGGUAUGGGCAGCCCUCCUGUGCCACCUCAGGGGAUGGACUCUAUGAGGGGCUCACAUGGUUAACCUCUAACUACAAAUCUUGAUGAGCACUGUCCACCCAUCCCCUGGAAGGAGAGAAAUCAAAAACCCAUUCACAGGAUUAUUGCCACCAUCACCUCUUUCAAUUGCCACUUUUCUUUUGAAUUUGAACUCUGGAGUUACUGUUCUACAGUUUGGGGGGAGAGGGCUUGAGGGUUUUCUCUUUUGUUUGUUUCCCUCUUUCCACUUUUUUUUUUUUUUGGCUUUGCGUUAGGAUGCUCUGAUAUUUGACAUGAACACAAAGUUGCUAGAUGCUCUUGUUGACUUCCAGUAGAUGGGAUGGGGGAAAUACAGCAGUUCUUGGUAAAAUCCUUUGUAAUAACAGUUUGAUUUUUUUUUAUUUCGAGAAUCUUUCAUUUUCCUAUGAAUGCUUUUUUCCUUUUUUGCCCAGUUUCCUUAUCACUUGCUGUAGACGGCUUAUUUUGCAUUCAUGCAGACUAUGUUGCAAGUCUGUUUCAUCUAGUAAACUGAAAAUUAUUGCUUAAUCAAACUGUCAUUUUUCUUUUAUAUUUAAGGCCUUUCCCCCUUCCUUAUGAGUUCUAACUUAGUAAUUUCAAAUGUGACCUUUUAUAUCUAAGACCAGUAUAGUAAACUUAGCCCACAGGGGCAAAUGAUGAGUAAUAUCAUUGUAAUGUGUUCCAGUUGCACCUCAGUAUGUUAAACAGGUAAUGUAAGAAGUUCUCUGAAAUGUCAGCAAAUAAGUUCUGAAACAUACAUCAUGCAUGAGUAGGAAUAAAACCCAAGUUCCCCAUAAUGUAGCUAACUUAAUGCUGCAUAAAAAUAUGAAAGUGUAACCCAUGAAGGACACACUUUUUUUUUCCACUGCAAAGUUAGUCACUUUGCUGUUUUUCCUCUUUUUUAAACUUUAAAAAUAGACUCUUCCCAGAAAUUGGAGCAAUAAUGGUGUAUACCACACAUAGAUUAAAUAUUUGUAGAUAUUUUAAGUGACUUUUGGGCAAAACUGGAAUGUAAUACUUUUACCUUGUUACAAACGCCUAAGACCAGUAAUUUAAAAAUUACUAACAGGUUUACCUUGUUCAUUAAUAAAGCGUGUAACCAUUCAAAUUAUAUGCACAUUUUACCUGGUUAAAAAAAUACACAUUCCUGUUUUCACAUUAUAGCAACUGAUUAAGCUGAAGCUAUAAAUCAUUUUUUAUAGAUGAGUGAUCCACAUCUCCAUCAAUUAGAAGACUGGAAAACAUGUUUUAUAAAAGAGGUAUUUAAUUUUGUUUGCAGGAUUAACUCAUGCAAAUAAAAAAGAUAUCCUGUUGGUUCAAUAGUACACUGUCUCCUUUAAGGAAGGAAGCAUGAUGAAUGAUGUGUAGACUUGAGGGAUGACUAUUAAAGUGGAUGGAGGAUGAGGACAAAGAACCUACAGAUUACAAUGAAUGUAAACUUAAUUUUUCUUCAUGUGUAAGCAGUGUGCUCGCUGGUGAUAUCUAGAUCCUAACAAGAUUACUUGGUUAGCUGGCUAAGACCAGUAACUGGAUUGCGACCACUAUGAUAAUAUUUUGAACCAAAUAUUAAUGCUUGAUGCAGAAUUGUAAAGCAGCAUCUGGUUCCUAUAUAGCCUUAAGGAAUAAUUUCAGUGAUCCUCAAGGAAUUAAAUAGGGAAUUUCAGAAAUGUAGACUGCAAAGGCAGUAUACAGGAAAAGGUGCAGUGGGUUUUGUUUAUGAGCGUGUCUGAAAACUAAAAUUGAGCAGGACAUCAUGGUAUAGUUGGACAGUAUUGGUCCUUCAUGCUUUGGCCAUAUUGUAUAAUGGAGCUUUUACCAAAGAUGUAUGAGAAGUGUAAGACUAUAAAAAAAGAACGAUUCAAAGUAAAACUCUUGACAAACACUUUACUUAAAGCAGAUGCAAAAGGUUAUUCUCAUGUAGGCUCCUGUUGGUGCAGAGGGAUUUUUGAUUUCAAGUGCAACUAAAGUACUAAGUUCUCAGUUUCACUUUAGUAGAAAUAGCUCUAGAAAUGAGGCUAAUCAACACAUCUAAGAACACUGGUUGCUUUCUAAAAUUCCCAAAGCUCCACCAUAAAUGUAAUUCUUAGUGUUUUAAAUGAUUGCAUUUUAAGGUAUAUAAAUAUGGGUUAUCCAAUAUCAAUACUAUAGUAACAUCCUGAAACAAAACAAGCACAAAGGUGUAAAUGCCUAAACUGGAGGAAACUUGAAACCCUGUUAAAUCUUUUUUUUUUUUGAGAUGGAGUCUCGCUCUG
RNA transcript from Nomascus leucogenys (northern white-cheeked gibbon), 2919 nucleotides. It is a transcript of the gene named ADP-ribosylation factor 6-like, with no coding region annotated. The record is from RefSeq and is a predicted model, not a curated record. The transcript has a single exon. Lineage: Eukaryota; Metazoa; Chordata; Mammalia; Primates; Hylobatidae.